UCGAAGGUGGGACUGGCGAUUGGGACGAAGUCGUAACAAGGUAGCCGUACCGGAAGGUGCGGCUGGAUCACCUCCUUUCUAAGGAG
RNAcentral lists this ribosomal RNA (86 nucleotides) under Streptomyces sp. NRRL B-1140. RNAcentral describes it as "partial 16S ribosomal RNA". It matches the Rfam family "Bacterial small subunit ribosomal RNA", at positions 1456 to 1533 of the family's 1533-position model. Lineage: Bacteria; Bacillati; Actinomycetota; Actinomycetes; Kitasatosporales; Streptomycetaceae. The record is from RNAcentral.